Molecule: ribosomal RNA, 293 nt
Filed under: Clostridioides difficile
Lineage: Bacteria; Bacillati; Bacillota; Clostridia; Peptostreptococcales; Peptostreptococcaceae
Description: partial 23S ribosomal RNA
Rfam family: Bacterial large subunit ribosomal RNA
Source: RNAcentral
CUGCGUGGAAGGGCCAUCGCUCAACGGAUAAAAGCUACCCUGGGGAUAACAGGCUUAUCUCCCCCAAGAGUCCACAUCGACGGGGAGGUUUGGCACCUCGAUGUCGGCUCAUCACAUCCUGGGGCUGUAGUAGGUCCCAAGGGUUGGGCUGUUCGCCCAUUAAAGGGGUACGCGAGCUGGGUUCAGAACGUCGUGAGACAGUUCGGUCCCUAUCCGUCGCAGGCGUAGGAAAUUUGAGAAGACCUGUCCUUAGUACGAGAGGACCGGGAUGGACGUACCUCUGGUGUACCAGU